AGUGAACGCUGGCGGUAGGCCUAACACAUGCAAGUCGAACGGCAGCACAGUAAGAGCUUGCUCUUACGGGUGGCGAGUGGCGGACGGGUGAGGAAUACAUCGGAAUCUACUUUUUCGUGGGGGAUAACGUAGGGAAACUUACGCUAAUACCGCAUACGACCUACGGGUGAAAGCAGGGGAUCUUCGGACCUUGCGCGAUUGAAUGAGCCGAUGUCGGAUUAGCUAGUUGGCGGGGUAAAGGCCCACCAAGGCGACGAUCCGUAGCUGGUCUGAGAGGAUGAUCAGCCACACUGGAGCUGGGACACGGUCCAGACUCCUACGGGAGGCAGCAGUGGGGAAUAUUGGACAAUGGGCGCAAGCCUGAUCCAGCCAUACCGCGUGGGUGAAGAAGGCCUUCGGGUUGUAAAGCCCUUUUGUUGGGAAAGAAAAGCAGCAGGUUAAUACCCCGCUGUUCUGACGGUACCCAAAGAAUAAGCACCGGCUAACUUCGUG
RNAcentral lists this ribosomal RNA (492 nucleotides) under uncultured bacterium. Its description in RNAcentral is "partial 16S ribosomal RNA". It matches the Rfam family "Bacterial small subunit ribosomal RNA", at positions 29 to 507 of the family's 1533-position model. The record is from RNAcentral.